Small nucleolar RNA from Bos indicus x Bos taurus (hybrid cattle), 126 nucleotides. Its record names the gene SNORA70. It matches the Rfam family "Small nucleolar RNA SNORA70". Rfam says of the family: snoRNA U70 seems to be exclusive to mammals and is a member of the H/ACA class of snoRNA which contain H (ANANNA) and ACA box motifs. Lineage: Eukaryota; Metazoa; Chordata; Mammalia; Artiodactyla; Bovidae. The record is from Ensembl.
UGACUGUCCAUUGAAAAACACCAUCUCUCAUGGGGGCCCAGUGCGUAACAGCUGCAAACAACCUUCUCAGUAGUGUACGCAGCCUAUUGCCCAUACAGGUUGCCCUAAGGGACCUUGAAGAUAGAU